CGUGUAGCGGUUACUCUGGUGACAAUGGAGAAGUUAGCAAAUAGUUGUGAAGGUAAAAAUGUGGUACAGUAUUUAAAGAAUACUGCUAAGUUGGUGGUGCAAGUGACGAGAGAAUGGGAUUCACCUGGAGGAAAGCAGCUGUCAUAAACAAGCUAGCUGACUACCGAGAAGCAGUUCUGUCCACCUGGAAAAAUCUAAAUGGAGCAGCAGGUCGUCAAAGCACAGUGCCAGAGGACCAAGGCCAGUUCUGAAGCCAGUUCCCGACCAGUCUCACCUGGAACAAAGCCAAAGACAGACACGAAGAGGAGUAGCUUGGUGCAUUUCUGUGGGAUGAUUUCCAGCCGUAUCAGAGAUCUGCCUGUGUUCUCCUUCUCUGGAUUAUUGGAGUAGCCGGCUGAAGGCUGUCUACGCACUCAAUGAAAAGGGUUCCCAGGUUCUCCAUGUGACCUACGCAGGUUAAACAAUCUUGGUUCUCUUGAAAAAAAAAAAAAAUCCUAAACU
Molecule: long non-coding RNA, 501 nt
Organism: Lates calcarifer (barramundi perch)
Lineage: Eukaryota; Metazoa; Chordata; Actinopteri; Centropomidae
Exons: 3
Source: RefSeq, a predicted model, not a curated record